This 468-nucleotide ribosomal RNA is filed under the name uncultured bacterium. RNAcentral's name for it is "partial 16S ribosomal RNA". It matches the Rfam family "Bacterial small subunit ribosomal RNA", at positions 28 to 507 of the family's 1533-position model. The record is from RNAcentral.
GACGAACGCUGGCGGCGUGCUUAACACAUGCAAGUCGAACGGAAAGGCCCUGCCUUUGUUGGGUGCUCGAGUGGCGAACGGGUGAGUAACACGUGAGUAACCUGCCCUUGACCUUGGGAUAACUUCAGGAAACUGGGGCUAAUACCGGAUAGGAGCUCCUGUUGCAUGGUGGGGGUUGGAAAGUUUCGGUGGCUGGGGUUGGACUUGCGGCUGAUCAGCUUGUUGGUGGGGUAGUGGUUUACCAAGGCCUUGACGGGUAGCCGGCCUGAGAGGGUGACCGGCCACAUUGGGACUGAGAUGCGACCCGGACUCCUACGGGAGGCAGCAGUGGGGAAUAUUGCGCGAUGGGCGGAAGCCUUAUGCAGCAACGCCGCGUGCGGGAUGACGGCCUUCGGGUUGUAAACCGCUUUCGCCUGUGACGAAGCGUGAGUGACGGUAAUGGGUAAAGAAGCACCGGCUAACUACGUG